AACGAACGCUGGCGGCGCGUCUUAAGCAUGCAAGUCGAACGGCAAGAGAGGAGCUUGCUUCUCCCUAGAGUGGCGGACUGGUGAGGAACGCGUGGGUAAUCUACCCUUAAGAUGGGGAUAGCCGCUAGAAAUAGCGGGUAAUACCGAAUAGACUUAUAGCUGAGAAAGAAGUGAUAAGGAAAGGAAGCUAAGGCUUCGCUUAAGGAUGAGCCUGCGUCCCAUUAGCUAGUUGGUAAGGUAACGGCCUACCAAGGCGACGAUGGGUAUCCGGCCUGAGAGGGUGAACGGACACAUUGGGACUGAGAUACGGCCCAAACUCCUACGGGAGGCAGCAGCUAAGAAUAUUCCGCAAUGGACGGAAGUCUGACGGAGCGACACCGCGUGGAUGAAGAAGGCUGAAAAGUUGUAAAAUUCUUUUGCUGAUGAAGAAUAAAGAUAAGAGGGAAUGCUAUCAGAUGACGGUAGUCGGCGAAUAACCCCGCUAA
This 485-nucleotide ribosomal RNA is filed under the name Treponema sp. oral taxon 232. RNAcentral's name for it is "bacterial SSU rRNA". It matches the Rfam family "Bacterial small subunit ribosomal RNA", at positions 30 to 500 of the family's 1533-position model. Lineage: Bacteria; Pseudomonadati; Spirochaetota; Spirochaetia; Treponematales; Treponemataceae. The record is from RNAcentral.